RNAcentral lists this ribosomal RNA (262 nucleotides) under uncultured archaeon. RNAcentral's name for it is "partial 16S ribosomal RNA". It matches the Rfam family "Archaeal small subunit ribosomal RNA", at positions 748 to 1008 of the family's 1478-position model. The record is from RNAcentral.
AGGGUGUAAACGCUGCAGACUUGGUGUUGGAGGCCCUUUGGGGGCAUUCAGUGCCGGAGAGAAGUUGUUAAGUCUGCUACUUGGGGAGUACGUCCGCAAGGAUGAAACUUAAAGGAAUUGGCGGGGGGAGCACCGCAACGGGAGGAGCGUGCGGUUUAAUUGGAUUCAACACCGUAAAACUCACCAGGGAAGACUGUUACAUGAAGGCCGAGAUGGAGACUCUGCUAGAUUUUCAGAGAGGAGGUGCAUGGCGUCAGUGACU